GACGGUCUUGGGGAUGCCAUGAACUCAACUUGAUAGAGAAGGUGAUAGGAAAUAGUGGUGAAGAAAAUGCAAGGAAAUAACACUUUAUUUAUAGGAAAAGAUCUGGGUUGUACACCAGUCUACUUAACCCUAAUUAGUGUCGCACUUGAUUACUUAAUCUUAUAGGGAAUUAGGGUUUCAAUUAGGUCAUAACUACCAAACUCUAAUUAUAACCGAUCAAUAAACCCUAAUUAUAAUUGAUAAAUUAACCUUAACAUGAUUAACCCUAAUUCUUCCAAAAAAUUUUAAAU
RNAcentral lists this long non-coding RNA (290 nucleotides) under Lathyrus oleraceus (garden pea). RNAcentral describes it as "Pisum sativum (pea) long non-coding RNA (PSAT_LNC003762)". The record is from RNAcentral. Lineage: Eukaryota; Viridiplantae; Streptophyta; Magnoliopsida; Fabales; Fabaceae.